RNAcentral lists this transfer RNA (49 nucleotides) under Linum stelleroides. RNAcentral's name for it is "partial tRNA-Leu". Lineage: Eukaryota; Viridiplantae; Streptophyta; Magnoliopsida; Malpighiales; Linaceae. The record is from RNAcentral.
AAAAUCCGUCGACCUUAGAAAUCGUGAGGGUUCAACCCCUCUAUCCCCA